Molecule: ribosomal RNA, 2902 nt
Filed under: Escherichia coli HVH 194 (4-2356805)
Lineage: Bacteria; Pseudomonadati; Pseudomonadota; Gammaproteobacteria; Enterobacterales; Enterobacteriaceae
Description: bacterial LSU rRNA
Rfam family: Bacterial large subunit ribosomal RNA
Source: RNAcentral
UUAAGCGACUAAGCGUACACGGUGGAUGCCCUGGCAGUCAGAGGCGAUGAAGGACGUGCUAAUCUGCGAUAAGCGUCGGUAAGGUGAUAUGAACCGUUAUAACCGGCGAUUUCCGAAUGGGGAAACCCAGUGUGUUUCGACACACUAUCAUUAACUGAAUCCAUAGGUUAAUGAGGCGAACCGGGGGAACUGAAACAUCUAAGUACCCCGAGGAAAAGAAAUCAACCGAGAUUCCCCCAGUAGCGGCGAGCGAACGGGGAGGAGCCCAGAGCCUGAAUCAGUGUGUGUGUUAGUGGAAGCGUCUGGAAAGGCGCGCGAUACAGGGUGACAGCCCCGUACACAAAAAUGUACACGUUGUGAGCUCGAUGAGUAGGGCGGGACACGUGGUAUCCUGUCUGAAUAUGGGGGGACCAUCCUCCAAGGCUAAAUACUCCUGACUGACCGAUAGUGAACCAGUACCGUGAGGGAAAGGCGAAAAGAACCCCGGCGAGGGGAGUGAAAAAGAACCUGAAACCGUGUACGUACAAGCAGUGGGAGCCUCUUAAUGGGGUGACUGCGUACCUUUUGUAUAAUGGGUCAGCGACUUAUAUUCUGUAGCAAGGUUAACCGAAUAGGGGAGCCGAAGGGAAACCGAGUCUUAACUGGGCGUUAAGUUGCAGGGUAUAGACCCGAAACCCGGUGAUCUAGCCAUGGGCAGGUUGAAGGUUGGGUAACACUAACUGGAGGACCGAACCGACUAAUGUUGAAAAAUUAGCGGAUGACUUGUGGCUGGGGGUGAAAGGCCAAUCAAACCGGGAGAUAGCUGGUUCUCCCCGAAAGCUAUUUAGGUAGCGCCUCGUGAAUUCAUCUCCGGGGGUAGAGCACUGUUUCGGCAAGGGGGUCAUCCCGACUUACCAACCCGAUGCAAACUGCGAAUACCGGAGAAUGUUAUCACGGGAGACACACGGCGGGUGCUAACGUCCGUCGUGAAGAGGGAAACAACCCAGACCGCCAGCUAAGGUCCCAAAGUCAUGGUUAAGUGGGAAACGAUGUGGGAAGGCCCAGACAGCCAGGAUGUUGGCUUAGAAGCAGCCAUCAUUUAAAGAAAGCGUAAUAGCUCACUGGUCGAGUCGGCCUGCGCGGAAGAUGUAACGGGGCUAAACCAUGCACCGAAGCUGCGGCAGCGACACUAUGUGUUGUUGGGUAGGGGAGCGUUCUGUAAGCCUGUGAAGGUGGCCUGUGAGGGUUGCUGGAGGUAUCAGAAGUGCGAAUGCUGACAUAAGUAACGAUAAAGCGGGUGAAAAGCCCGCUCGCCGGAAGACCAAGGGUUCCUGUCCAACGUUAAUCGGGGCAGGGUGAGUCGACCCCUAAGGCGAGGCCGAAAGGCGUAGUCGAUGGGAAACAGGUUAAUAUUCCUGUACUUGGUGUUACUGCGAAGGGGGGACGGAGAAGGCUAUGUUGGCCGGGCGACGGUUGUCCCGGUUUAAGCGUGUAGGCUGGUUUUCCAGGCAAAUCCGGAAAAUCAAGGCUGAGGCGUGAUGACGAGGCACUACGGUGCUGAAGUGACAAAUGCCCUGCUUCCAGGAAAAGCCUCUAAGCAUCAGGUAACAUCAAAUCGUACCCCAAACCGACACAGGUGGUCAGGUAGAGAAUACCAAGGCGCUUGAGAGAACUCGGGUGAAGGAACUAGGCAAAAUGGUGCCGUAACUUCGGGAGAAGGCACGCUGAUAUGUAGGUGAAGCGACUUGCUCGUGGAGCUGAAAUUAGUCGAAGAUACCAGCUGGCUGCAACUGUUUAUUAAAAACACAGCACUGUGCAAACACGAAAGUGGACGUAUACGGUGUGACGCCUGCCCGGUGCCGGAAGGUUAAUUGAUGGGGUUAGCGGUAACGCGAAGCUCUUGAUCGAAGCCCCGGUAAACGGCGGCCGUAACUAUAACGGUCCUAAGGUAGCGAAAUUCCUUGUCGGGUAAGUUCCGACCUGCACGAAUGGCGUAAUGAUGGCCAGGCUGUCUCCACCCGAGACUCAGUGAAAUUGAACUCGCUGUGAAGAUGCAGUGUACCCGCGGCAAGACGGAAAGACCCCGUGAACCUUUACUAUAGCUUGACACUGAACAUUGAGCCUUGAUGUGUAGGAUAGGUGGGAGGCUUUGAAGUGUGGACGCCAGUCUGCAUGGAGCCGACCUUGAAAUACCACCCUUUAAUGUUUGAUGUUCUAACGUUGGCCCGUAAUCCGGGUUGCGGACAGUGUCUGGUGGGUAGUUUGACUGGGGCGGUCUCCUCCUAAAGAGUAACGGAGGAGCACGAAGGUUGGCUAAUCCUGGUCGGACAUCAGGAGGUUAGUGCAAUGGCAUAAGCCAGCUUGACUGCGAGCGUGACGGCGCGAGCAGGUGCGAAAGCAGGUCAUAGUGAUCCGGUGGUUCUGAAUGGAAGGGCCAUCGCUCAACGGAUAAAAGGUACUCCGGGGAUAACAGGCUGAUACCGCCCAAGAGUUCAUAUCGACGGCGGUGUUUGGCACCUCGAUGUCGGCUCAUCACAUCCUGGGGCUGAAGUAGGUCCCAAGGGUAUGGCUGUUCGCCAUUUAAAGUGGUACGCGAGCUGGGUUUAGAACGUCGUGAGACAGUUCGGUCCCUAUCUGCCGUGGGCGCUGGAGAACUGAGGGGGGCUGCUCCUAGUACGAGAGGACCGGAGUGGACGCAUCACUGGUGUUCGGAUUGUCAUGCCAAUGGCACUGCCCGGUAGCUAAAUGCGGAAGAGAUAAGUGCUGAAAGCAUCUAAGCACGAAACUUGCCCCGAGAUGAGUUCUCCCUGACUCCUUGAGAGUCCUGAAGGAACGUUGAAGACGACGACGUUGAUAGGCCGGGUGUGUAAGCGCAGCGAUGCGUUGAGCUAACCGGUACUAAUGAACCGUGAGGCUUAACCUU